This 467-nucleotide ribosomal RNA is filed under the name uncultured bacterium. Its description in RNAcentral is "partial 16S ribosomal RNA". It matches the Rfam family "Bacterial small subunit ribosomal RNA", at positions 28 to 506 of the family's 1533-position model. The record is from RNAcentral.
GACGAACGCUGGCGGCGUGCUUAACACAUGCAAGUCGAACGGAAAGGCCCUGCUUUUGUGGGGUGCUCGAGUGGCGAACGGGUGAGUAACACGUGAGUAACCUGCCCUUGACUUUGGGAUAACUUCAGGAAACUGGGGCUAAUACCGGAUAGGAGCUCCUGCUGCAUUGUGGGGGUUGGAAAGUUUCGGCGGUUGGGGAUGGACUCGCGGCUUAUCAGCUUGUUGGUGGGGUAGUGGCUUACCAAGGCUUUGACGGGUAGCCGGCCUGAGAGGGUGACCGGCAACAUUGGAACGGAGAUACGGCCAAGACUCCUACGGGAGGAAGCGGGGGGGAAAAUUGAACAAGGGGCGGAAGCCUGAGGCAGCAACGCCGCGGGGGGAAGAACGGCCUUCGGGUUGUAAACCGCUUUAGCCGGGGACGAAGCGUGAGUGACGGUAAUGGGGAAAGAAGCACCGGCUAACUACGU